CCCUUAGAUGUUCUGGGCCGCACGCGUGCUACACUGAGUAAUUCAAUGGGUAAGGGAACGCUAGAGCAUUACCUAAUCUUGAAAUUUGCUCGUGAUGGGGAUCGACGGUUGCAAUUUUCCGUCGUGAACGAGGAAUACCUUGUAGGCGCAUGUCAUCAUCAUGCGCCGAAUACGUCCCUGCCCUUUGUACACACCGCCCGUCGCUCCUACCGAUUGAGUGAUCUGGUGAGGCUCUGGGACCUGGACGGAAAGAGCGUUUCGCUUGUUCUGUUUGGGAAACUUGGUCGAACCUUAUCAUUUAGAGGAAGGAGAAGUCGUAACA
RNAcentral lists this ribosomal RNA (322 nucleotides) under uncultured eukaryote. Its description in RNAcentral is "partial 18S ribosomal RNA". It matches the Rfam family "Eukaryotic small subunit ribosomal RNA", at positions 1470 to 1796 of the family's 1831-position model. The record is from RNAcentral.